Molecule: long non-coding RNA, 415 nt
Filed under: Ananas comosus (pineapple)
Lineage: Eukaryota; Viridiplantae; Streptophyta; Magnoliopsida; Poales; Bromeliaceae
Description: long non-coding RNA (ACOM_LNC004085)
Source: RNAcentral
GGAUAUCGUUCUUAUCGGGGACAAAGUCUGGAAUGUGACAGUGACACCACAUUAUCAUAUUCCAACAAGUUAAAUCAUUCUUUGACUAUUCACAAUAUUUCAUCAUAUUUUUAAAAUUUUUUUUAUCAUAACUGCAAUACAGAAGACCACCUCCUCAUAGGCAAUAGCCGCAUAAUUAAAUCUAAACUCUUUUUUUUAAAAAAUAAAAUAGGGAAAAUAUAUAAUUGUUUUUUUUUUUUCUGAGAGAGAUAGGUAGCAUGCUACCCGCUUUAUUUCAUUUAGAAAUAAACUUAGUUGAAAAUGUGAAUCAAUUAGGAUUCGAAUUUGAAAUCUUGGGUACUAACCACCAAGUCCUUUGUUACUAGCUCUAGGGACGGUCGGUAAAUAUAUAACUGUUGCAAUUAGAAUCAGAUGG